This 573-nucleotide ribosomal RNA is filed under the name uncultured Kineosphaera sp. RNAcentral describes it as "bacterial SSU rRNA". It matches the Rfam family "Bacterial small subunit ribosomal RNA", at positions 333 to 916 of the family's 1533-position model. Lineage: Bacteria; Bacillati; Actinomycetota; Actinomycetes; Micrococcales; Dermatophilaceae. The record is from RNAcentral.
AGACUCCUACGGGAGGCAGCAGUGGGGAAUAUUGCACAAUGGGCGAAAGCCUGAUGCAGCGACGCCGCGUGAGGGAUGAAGGCCUUCGGGUUGUAAACCUCUUUCAGCAGGGAAGAAGCGAGAGUGACGGUACCUGCAGAAGAAGCACCGGCUAACUACGUGCCAGCAGCCGCGGUAAUACGUAGGGUGCGAGCGUUGUCCGGAAUUAUUGGGCGUAAAGAGCUUGUAGGCGGUUUGUCGCGUCUGCUGUGAAAAUCUGGGGCUUAACUCCGGACGUGCAGUGGGUACGGGCAGGCUAGAGUGUGGUAGGGGAGACUGGAAUUCCUGGUGUAGCGGUGAAAUGCGCAGAUAUCAGGAGGAACACCGAUGGCGAAGGCAGGUCUCUGGGCCAUAACUGACGCUGAGAAGCGAAAGCAUGGGUAGCGAACAGGAUUAGAUACCCUGGUAGUCCAUGCCGUAAACGUUGGGCGCUAGGUGUGGGGCUCAUUCCACGAGCUCUGUGCCGCAGCUAACGCAUUAAGCGCCCCGCCUGGGGAGUACGGCCGCAAGGCUAAAACUCAAAGGAAUUGACGG